AUCUACCUGACAAGUCCCAAAUAGAACGAAACUCGAGUCUUGGAU
This 45-nucleotide non-coding RNA is filed under the name Schistosoma mattheei. Lineage: Eukaryota; Metazoa; Platyhelminthes; Trematoda; Strigeidida; Schistosomatidae. The record is from RNAcentral.